RNAcentral lists this ribosomal RNA (519 nucleotides) under uncultured eukaryote. RNAcentral describes it as "bacterial SSU rRNA". It matches the Rfam family "Eukaryotic small subunit ribosomal RNA", at positions 1161 to 1707 of the family's 1831-position model. The record is from RNAcentral.
AGGGCACUACCAGGAGUGGAUCCUGCGGCUCAAUUUGACUCAACACGGGAAAGCUCACCUGGUCCGGACACUGGAAGGAUUGACAGAUUAAGAGCUCUUUCUUGAUUCAGUGGGUGGUGGUGCAUGGCCGUUCUUAGUUGGUGGAGCGAUUUGUCUGGUUAAUUCCGAUAACGAACGAGACUCUAGCCUACUAAAUAGGUGUUCCGAUCCCAUCAGUCGGACGCUCUUCUUAGAGGGACAAGCGGCGUUUAGCCGCACGAGACAGAGCAAUAACAGGUCUGUGAUGCCCUUAGAUGUCCGGGGCCGCACGCGCGCUACACUGAAGGAACCAGCGUGUGUCCCUGUCCGGCAGGACUGGGUAAUCCGUUGAACCUCCUUCGUGAUAGGGAUAGGGGCUUGUAAUUGUUCCCCUUGAACGAGGAAUUCCCAGUAAGAGGAAAAAUCAGUUCACGUUGAUUACGUCACUGGCCUUUGAACACACCACCCAUCGCAACAAAAGAUUGGAUGAAUUAGUGAGCU